This 331-nucleotide ribosomal RNA is filed under the name uncultured eukaryote. Its description in RNAcentral is "partial 18S ribosomal RNA". It matches the Rfam family "Eukaryotic small subunit ribosomal RNA", at positions 1470 to 1796 of the family's 1831-position model. The record is from RNAcentral.
CCCUUAGAUGUUCUGGGCCGCACGCGCGCUACACUGACGAAGUCAGCGAGCAUGUCCUACGCCGACAGGUGCGGGGAAUCUUGUCAAACUUCGUCGUGAUGGGGAUUGAUUUUUGAAAUUCUUGAUCAUAAACGAGGAAUUCCUAGUAAGCGCAAGUCAGCAGCUUGCGUUGAUUACGUCCCUGCCCUUUGUACACACCGCCCGUCGCUACUACCGAUUGAAUGGUUUAGUGAGAUCUUCGGAUUGGCGCCACUGCAGCUCAACAAUGGGCUUGGUGGAUGCCGAAAAGUUGAUCAAACUUGAUCAUUUAGAGGAAGUAAAAGUCGUAACA